This 576-nucleotide ribosomal RNA is filed under the name uncultured eukaryote. RNAcentral's name for it is "SSU rRNA". It matches the Rfam family "Eukaryotic small subunit ribosomal RNA", at positions 203 to 786 of the family's 1831-position model. The record is from RNAcentral.
UUUGUUACUUCAAACCAAUCGGACUUCGGUCUGACAUCAAGUGAUAUUGAACAAUUUAGCUGAUCGCACGGUCUAAGAACCGGCGACAUAUCCUUCAAAUGUCUGCCUUAUCAACUUUCGAUGGUAGAUUAUGCGCCUACCAUGGUUGUAACGGGUAACGGAGAAUCAGGGUUUGAUUCCGGAGAGGGAGCCUGAGAAACGGCUACCACAUCCAAGGAAGGCAGCAGGCACGCAAAUUACCCACUCCCGGCACGGGGGGGUAGUGACGAAAAAUAACAGGCUGGUCUCAAUGAGUUCCAGCAUUGUAAUGGGAACAAUUUAAAUCUUUUAUCGAGGAUCUAUUGGAGGGCAAGUCUGGUGCCAGCAGCCGCGGUAAUUCCAGCUCCAAUAGCGUAUAUUAAAGUUGUUGCGGUUAAAAAGCUCGUAGUUGGAUCUAGGAUUAGGGCUACGGUCGUUCAGCUUGGACGUACUGUAUGCCCGACUCCUUUUCUCUAGUAUUCGAUUGUUGCUCUUAAAUGAGUGACUUUAGUUGCUGGAACUUUUACCUUGAAAAAAUUGAAGUGCUCAAAGCACGUU